GGAAGAGUAUAGCUCUGGUAGAGUGCAUGCCUAGCAUGCACGAAGUCCUGGGUUCAAUCCCCAGUACUUCCA
Molecule: transfer RNA, 72 nt
Filed under: Camelus bactrianus (Bactrian camel)
Lineage: Eukaryota; Metazoa; Chordata; Mammalia; Artiodactyla; Camelidae
Also listed under: 2 other names
Rfam family: tRNA
About the family: Transfer RNA (tRNA) molecules are approximately 80 nucleotides in length. Their secondary structure includes four short double-helical elements and three loops (D, anti-codon, and T loops).
Source: Rfam by way of RNAcentral